CUGGAGUUACUAGUAAUCGCAGAUCAGAAUGCUGCGGUGAAUGCGUUCCCGGGUCUUGUACACACCGCCCGUCACACCACGGGAGUUGGAGACGCCCGAAGCCGAUUAUCUAACCUUUUGGAAGAAGUCGUCGAAGGUGGAAUCAAUAACUGGGGUGAAGUCGUAACAAGGUAGCCGUAGCGGAAGGUGCGGCUGGAUCACCUCCUUUCUAAGGAGA
RNAcentral lists this ribosomal RNA (217 nucleotides) under Clostridioides difficile. RNAcentral's name for it is "partial 16S ribosomal RNA". It matches the Rfam family "Bacterial small subunit ribosomal RNA", at positions 1326 to 1533 of the family's 1533-position model. Lineage: Bacteria; Bacillati; Bacillota; Clostridia; Peptostreptococcales; Peptostreptococcaceae. The record is from RNAcentral.